UACGUAGGGUCCGAGCGUUGUCCGGAAUUAUUGGGCGUAAAGGGCUCGUAGGCGGUCCGUCACGUCGGGAGUGAAAACUCAGGGCUCAACCCUGAGCGUGCUUCCGAUACGGGCGGACUAGAGGUAUGCAGGGGAGAACGGAAUUCCUGGUGUAGCGGUGGAAUGCGCAGAUAUCAGGAGGAACACCGGUGGCGAAGGCGGGUCUCUGGGCAGUAACUGACGCUGAGGAGCGAAAGCGUGGGGAGCGAACAGG
This 253-nucleotide ribosomal RNA is filed under the name uncultured bacterium. Its description in RNAcentral is "partial 16S ribosomal RNA". It matches the Rfam family "Bacterial small subunit ribosomal RNA", at positions 524 to 776 of the family's 1533-position model. The record is from RNAcentral.